AUACUGUACUUUAUUAUGCAUUUUAUUGCAUUGAACUGGUGCUUAUAUGUGAUAUUAUACCCAACCUAGAUAUUCUUUGAGUGUGGGACAGGGACUAUAUAAUUAUUUUAAAUAAAUUUAAAAAUUCCCCACCUCCAAAAACCAUAUACUAGAAAGACAAAACACAGGAAAUGAGCAAUAGGGAAAACAGUGGUCCCUGUAUUGACUUAUAUGCUGACCCAAAUAUGUCUGCAUCAUGAACCCAAAAUCUCCUCCCCCUUUGCUUAACAGUCAAAAGAGCUAAGAGCAUUUGCAAUGUAUGAUUAGAAAUUAUAACCAAUUGGAACAGUUGUGGUCAUCAGUAUGUAUGUAGGUGAGUGUGCAUGAGGCUAGUAUUUCUACCUAUACCAUCGCCAGUCAUGCUUCCAUGCUGUAGUAACAUAGGUGACAAAUGAUUAUUGAGUCAUAACAUUGUUAGAUGCCCUCUCACCUCUUUGGCUGGGAAUGCUUUCCCAUGGAAAGGCAAUCUGGCCAGGACAUACAGCUGCACACCCCUGUAUCUGCUGCUUCAUAUACAUUAAUGCUGGAUUGUGCCUGAUGUGUCGAAAAGUUUGUUGCCAGUGCAUAUUCUGUAGUGAGAGAUGAAGACUAAUUUUGAAAGAAACUUUUAUGGCAUUGCUUGGUGGAUCGGAUGCUUGAUUUUCUGUCUUCUGGGGGAAAGCAUUCAGCAAAUUCAGUAUAGCAGUUUUAGUAGUCCUGCUGAUUUUGUAGAACAAGAAGCAGAAGAGCAUCAAGGUCUCCAAGAAAGAUGACUGAAAACCAUCUACCUCUACUGUUUAACAGGUCAUCACAUGCUAGUUUUUAAUAAUGCUUGUUCUGAGCUUGACAACUGAUUGUCACACAUAAGCUCAUAAGCUGCCAUUGAAAGUUACCCACCUGCAGUAGUGACAUGCAUGGUGGUGGGAAGCUGGUGAAUUCACUCCACCCCCUUACACUGUUGCCUACCUGGAUGGGGCAGCAGUGAGGCUGGAGUCAUGUGCUUUUAACUGUGGGAACAUCUAGCACGGCUGCUGGUGCAUCUGCACAGCCCCAACCACACAGUUGUGUCAGCCCAGCCCUGACCAGGUAAGUCCCAGCAACAACACUAGUGUUGGAGGGUGGCUCCACAGCUCCACCCCAUUGCAUGUGCCACCAAUCUCUUCCUGCUUCUUUUUAUCUCUGUAAUGUGAAGUGGUGUAGUAAUAAUAAUUGGCUUUAAUAGCAUUCGUCUUGGCUUUAUUUUCUUCUAGGCACAAUGUGAGCAAUAAAUUAAGGAG
This is a non-coding RNA of Podarcis lilfordi (Lilford's wall lizard), 1295 nucleotides long. Lineage: Eukaryota; Metazoa; Chordata; Lepidosauria; Squamata; Lacertidae. The record is from the annotation of a GenBank genome assembly.